RNAcentral lists this long non-coding RNA (482 nucleotides) under Malus domestica (apple). Its description in RNAcentral is "long non-coding RNA (MDOM_LNC017426)". Lineage: Eukaryota; Viridiplantae; Streptophyta; Magnoliopsida; Rosales; Rosaceae. The record is from RNAcentral.
GCUAUCUCAGUAUAGCAGAUGUAGAACAAGUGUGUUUUUAGUCGAUUACUUGUGCCCCAAGUUACUCAGACGUCUUGUUAUCAAAGGAUUGUCGUGGAUAGGUUAAAUCCACAUUAAGUUCUUUUCUUGCCUUAUGACCAGGGACUUUUAGUUCAUAGUCUUGAAUGUUCAAAUGAAGGGAAUCCCAAUCCUCUUUAAGUCAUUUGUUUGAUUCUUAAUUGAUUUUAAUGAAAGCAUAUCCAUUAAAGUGACCAGAUCUAGAUACAAAUAAAACUCUUAAGAGUAGGAAAACAGGUGGACAUGAUUUGAAUACAUACUGGAGAAUGCAUUAUGUAAUAGAUUUACAAAUUCAGAAAGCAAACAAAGAGUUUUGAGCAAGAUUUCACCUUGUAUGUCAAGGUUGAACUUCUUGCAGUCACUUCUCUUUGGGUUUACAAGGUUUGUAUGUUGAAAAGGAUGGAUGGUAAACAAGUUUACACAAG